Molecule: long non-coding RNA, 1864 nt
Organism: Aethalodelphis obliquidens (Pacific white-sided dolphin)
Lineage: Eukaryota; Metazoa; Chordata; Mammalia; Artiodactyla; Delphinidae
Exons: 2
Source: RefSeq, a predicted model, not a curated record
CCCUCCCCGCCCCUCCCCGCCCCUCCCCGCCCCGGGCCCGGCUGCUAUUUAAAGGCAGAAUGGUCCGGCGGCGAGCAGAGCGCGGAGGUGGCGCGGUCGAGGCGGUGUGGGCGCGGGGCGUCACACCCCGUAACUGGCAGCCGCCGCUCGGUGCUUCUCUCCUGAGUCUCUCUUGCCCGGCGGGCUCCCAGCCCCCGCCGCCCGGGCCCCGCGGACCUGCAAACCCCAGGCCCGGCGGAUUUGCCUUUGGCGCUUUCCCGGGCUCGGCAGAGGGGUUCCCGGCUGGGAUCUCUGGGGUCGCGCUGGCGAUGAGCAGCGAAGAAAGGCGAGGCGCUGCUCUCCGAGCGCGAGGAGGCGGGGUGCGCUCGCCGGGGUCGCCGGGGCGCCGCUGGGGAACCCGGGCCAGCGAACCCAAGCGCGAUUUCCGCGGGUCCCGGGCGCAGAGGCCGGGGCUGCCGGCGCUUUGGCCUUGGAUGGAAAGUUGGGAAUGGGGUAGGGGCCUCCGGACCCCCUAACGUGGAUUACUUGGUGCGUCUCGGCCGGGCUCGGAUGACCCACAACCUCGUCUCCAUCCGUGGAUUGAUGCACAUUCUACCUAACAGUCGAGUCCCUUACCUGUAGGGCCCCUUACCUCGAGAGCUGAGCCGCCUCGGUGAGCUCCCGUCGUCUGCCCAUUGGCGACCCAGAAUGCGAUCGGGGCGCAGCGCUUGGAGCCCCCCUCGCCGGGGGGGUGGUGAAUGUCUCUGGUCCCCGGUCCUGGUUGCUGGUGAGCGGCUAUACUGCAAGGACUGCGCCAUCCAUCAGGCAUCUUUCUGAACGGGUGGGAGGUAGCAGGCAUUCGGUCCGGGGCGUACUCCCGCCCCCCGCCGUCAGUGCACAUUGUUAAUGGAAGCGGUUUCCCGGCCAGCGCGGGGAGGGGGCGUAGUCUUGAGUCCUGACCUGGAAGCACGCUGCUUCUGAAUCCACAGCCCCCCCGAUCCUCGUCCUUUUGUGUGGGCGCUGUUUGCAGCGGCGCCGUGCCUGUCGCUGAGUAGGUGCAGAGUAGAUGUCUGCUGAAUGAAUGAGCGAAUCCGCCUUGAUGUGCAGAUAAACCAGGGGCCUCCUUUUCCUGCUCCCCCUUUGGCACUUGUCCUCAACUCUUUCCCCCGAAGAUGGUUUCCUGGGGGUGCUUUCCCAGAUACGGGGUUCCCUCCCCUCCCUCCAGCUCCGUUGGCAGUUUGUCUGUGAUGAUCCAUUUCCUGCCCAAAAGUCCCUCCUGCAUAGAACACUUCUGGAAGCAGUCACGGGUCUCCCUUGGACUGUGUGCAGGGUGCCAGUGCCUCCCGUGAGCACCUGCUUGGGAAGAGGGGGAGAGCCAGGCACCACAGGAAGAAAAAAGGUGAUGUGUGUUGGUACCGCCCCUCCCCCAGGAGCCUGUGCCCUGGCCACACCCAGGUCCGUGGAACUGCCCACGUUGGUGCAGUAUGUACCCUGUGGCCCUUCCUCACCUUCUCUGGGAGAGGAACUGUUGAAAUUGUCCCACUGAUGGCCGGAAGCCCCGCCUCUGCACCCCGUCUGAUUUUAAAGGUAAUCCGUGCCCUUUCUCUGUCUUUUAUAGAAAACUACAAAAAAGAGCAAAAAACAGGAAAGGAAACACCCAGUUCCCACAGUAAUGCAAUUUGACAAUAUGUCCCCACUGCUGAAAUCCUGCAAAUAUGUACAACUUUGUUUCCCGCUUUAUUCCCUCUCACUUUGUGUUUUUUUUUUUUUGAACAUUUCCCCAUAUAAUGACUGUAUUCACUGCAGGCAUUGAAUCAUAGUUUGCGUGACAAUUCUCCCAUUGUUGGACACCAAGGUAUUUCCAAAUUUUUACCCUUUGAAUUCA